Pelobates cultripes (western spadefoot toad) is the source of this 528-nucleotide non-coding RNA. The record is from the annotation of a GenBank genome assembly. NCBI's taxonomy places the organism in Eukaryota, Metazoa, Chordata, Amphibia, Anura, Pelobatidae.
GGAGUCAGAUUAGAACUGGGGUUCAGAGUAUUAUAUGGAGUCAGAUUAGAACCGGGGUUCAGGGUAUUAUAUGAAGUCAGAUUAGAACCGGGGGUUCAGAGUAUUAUAUGGAGGCAGAUUAGAAGCGGGGUUCAGGGUAUUAUAUGGAGGCAGAUUAGAACCGGGGUUCAGGGUAUUAUAUGAAGUCAGAUUAGAACUGGUGUUCAGGGUAUUAUAUGGAGGCAGAUUAGAACAGGGGUUCAGGGUAUUAUAUGAAGUCAGAUUAGAACCGGGGGUUCAGAGUAUUAUAUGGAGGCAGAUUAGAAGCGGGGGUUCAGAGUAUUAUAUGGAGGCAGAUUAGAAGCGGGGUUCAGGGUAUUAUAUGGAGGCAGAUUAGAACCGGGGUUCAGGGUAUUAUAUGAAGUCAGAUUAGAACUGGUGUUCAGGGUAUUAUAUGGAGGCAGAUUAGAACAGGGGUUCAGGGUAUUAUAUGAAGUCAGAUUAGAACCGGGGGUUCAGAGUAUUAUAUGGAGGCAGAUUAGAAGCGGG